UGACAAAGUUCAACGGCCGCGGUACCCUAACCGUGCGAAGGUAGCAUAAUCACUUGUUCUUUAAAUGAGGACUCGUAUCAACGGCACUACGAGGGCUAUACUGUCUCCUUUUUCUAAUCAGUGAAACUGAUCUCCCCGUGAAGAAGCGGGGGUCAAAAUAUAAGACGAGAAGACCCCAUGGAGCUUUAAACUCACUAUACACCUCUGUGCCUUUAUGUCACUAGACACAAGAGAUCUGCGUACUAGUUUUAGGUUGGGGGGACCACGGAGUAUAAUUUAACCUCCAUAACAAAUGGGCUAACACCCUUAUCUACGAGACACAACUCUAAGAAUUACUAAACUAAUGCUUAUGACCCGAUAUUCGAUCAAUGAACCAAGUUACCCUGGGGAUAACAGCGCAAUCUACUUCAAGAGCCCAUAUCGACAAGUGGGUUUACGACCUCGAUGUUGGAUCAGGGUAUCCCGGUGGUGCAGCCGCUACCGACGGUUCGUUUGUUCAACGAUUAAAACCCUACGUGAUCUGAG
RNAcentral lists this ribosomal RNA (525 nucleotides) under Rana graeca (Greek frog). RNAcentral describes it as "partial large subunit ribosomal RNA". It matches the Rfam family "Bacterial large subunit ribosomal RNA", at positions 1910 to 2609 of the family's 2925-position model. Lineage: Eukaryota; Metazoa; Chordata; Amphibia; Anura; Ranidae. The record is from RNAcentral.